UUUUUUUCGUUUUACUGAGGAAGGGUACAGUUUCCCUGCUCAAAUUUUAUAUAGGUGUUCCGUGGUUUGCCUGUGGUGUUCCCGCGGGAAACACCGGCACAUCCACUGAUCUCUAAUAUAGGGGCAAAACAUAGUAGAGAUCAGUACGCACAUCACUUAUCACUUCCCCAGGUUUCACUGUAGUGGAGCUGCAUUAGCGCUGCAGGAUUUGAGCAGAAUUGAAGCUACAUUAAGCGCUGGAUUUGAGCUGGAUUGCAACUGCAUUUGAUUUGGGGCGCAGAAUAAUCUUGAAGUCGUUCCGAAGUAGCGGCGGUAGCCGGCGAUGCGGCCGGCGCAUCUCUCGGGACGAGUUCUUGGCGUUCGCUGCGGACGCGUAGCGCGUCGCUGCCGUUGACGCGGGAGGAGAAACAGGGCAUUAUAAGCAGUUGGCGCGUUCCGAAACUUUCUUUGUGCCAUGGACGCCGAGCUGCAAGCGCGCAUCGAGCGAAAACGCGCGCUCGCCCGCGAAAGACAGCGCCGACGCCAAGCAAAUCCAGAAGUGAAGGCCCAGCGCGCAGCAGCCGCUCGCCAGCGCAGGCAGGCGAAUCCAGAAGUCAGGGCCCGGGAAGUGGCAGCCGCUCGCCAGCGCAGGCAGGCGAAUCCACAAGUCAGGGCCCGGGAAGCAGCAGCCGCUCGCCAGCGCAGGCUAGUCAAUCCUCAGAGCAAGGCCCGGGAAGCAGCAGCCGCUCGCCGGCGCCGGCAGGCGAAUCCAGAAGUUAGGGCCCGGGAAGCAGCAGCCGCUCGCCAGCGCAGGCAGGCGAAUCCUCAAGUCAAAGCCCGGCAAGCAGCAGCCGCUCGCCUACGCAGACUAAUCAAUCCUCAGAUUAAUGCCCAGCGCGCAGCAGCUGUACGCCAGCAAAGACAGGCGAAUCCAAGUCUCGUCAAAGCACAGACUGCUGCCGCUCGCCAGCGCAGGCAAGUUAACCCUCAGAUCAAGGUUCGGAAUGCUCAAGCGAAACGUCAGCGAAGACAGACAAACCCGGAACUUCGCCGGCGAGAAGCAGCGGCGAAACGUCAGAAACGACAAGCCAACGCGGAGCUCCGCGCAGCAGAAGCUCGCCUCGAGGAACGCCGCUUGCACGAGGCAACACAGUGCAAGUCCUGUGUUGAUCAAGUGCGUACAUUGGGCAGUCAGACAGAGACUGCACAUGUGAUGGUGGAAACAAGCGCCCAAACCGCAAUGGUCUUUCCACGUACCAUCCCUGUGCAGACAAGACCAACGAAAUUACGGAGCCGAGGCACAAACACGGGCCCUGUAUGAUGAGCUGAAAGAGAAAUAAUCAUCCACUCGAUGCUGAAGAGACAACACUACGAAGAGGCUCUACCAGAGGGAAGAAAGCCACCAUUAUGCAAGCACCUGCUCUGGUGCACUAAGGAACACCUUUCCUCACGUCAACUAUGUGGAACCGGCUGUUUUCGGGUGUUGCCAAAUGCUGCCACCGUGAAGAUAGCGCACAAAGAGUGCAUGUGAUAAAGCUUCAACGGCACAUUAUUGUCAACAGUGUUCGAGGAGUACUGUGUAACGACAUUUUCAACUUGUCACUUUAUUGUUUGCUAAGUUAAAGUGCAAACCUUCUAAAUCCUUGAAAAAUAUUAUCCUCAAGUGUGAUAACGUUAUAAAUAAUAUUUUAUUAUGCGUUCUCCUAGUACCAGGAGGCACACGUACCAUGACAUCAUCACACACUAGGUCGCUCCGGUUCUGUGCGCACUGCAGCUACAGUCAAAGACAAGACGCUAACGCCAAGUGGUGGGUUUUCGACGGCAAGCGGUGCCGGCCGUGGCAUUUCCUCAAGGGCCGAUGCCCAAGCCCCGAUGACAGUGACGUCUUCGGCAGCCUCGACGAAUACGAGUGCCGCUGCUCAUCGCCAAUGGAUCUGGGCGAUGACGCCUGCGGGCGCUGGGACACAUGUAGGGGAUCCGGAGACUCCAACGUACUGCGGUUCCCGUAUUUCGCCGAUGUGUCGCCCGGCGGUGACGGUCAAGUGCGCUACAUCAGGGCUUCGGCGGCGACGCUGCUCACGCAGCAGUGCCUCAUUGGCUCCAACCGGUUCUUCUCGGAGGAAGCCUGCAAGAGAGCCUACGUGGACGGACGCCACGCUCAGGCACGGCAAGAACGUAUAUCUAGCCAAAUGAAGUCGCUUCUGCG
RNA transcript from Dermacentor silvarum, 2185 nucleotides. RefSeq lists it as uncharacterized. The record is from RefSeq and is a predicted model, not a curated record. Lineage: Eukaryota; Metazoa; Arthropoda; Arachnida; Ixodida; Ixodidae. The transcript has 4 exons.